This 440-nucleotide ribosomal RNA is filed under the name uncultured bacterium. RNAcentral's name for it is "partial 16S ribosomal RNA". It matches the Rfam family "Bacterial small subunit ribosomal RNA", at positions 338 to 795 of the family's 1533-position model. The record is from RNAcentral.
CCUACGGGUGGCAGCAGUGAGGAAUAUUGGGCAAUGGAGGCAACUCUGACCCAGCCAUGCCGCGUGAGUGAAGAAGGUUUUCGGAUUGUAAAGCUCUUUCGGAUGUGACGAUGAUGACGGUAGCAUCUAAAGAAGCCCCGGCUAACUACGUGCCAGCAGCCGCGGUAAUACGUAGGGGGCAAGCGUUGUUCGGAAUUACUGGGCGUAAAGGGAGGGUAGGCGGGUUUGUAAGACUGUGGUGAAAUCCCAGGGCUUAACCUUGGGAUUGCCAUUAAAACUAUUGGACUAGAAUUACAGAGAGGUUAGUGGAAUACCCAGUGUAGAGGUGAAAUUCGUAGAUAUUGGGUAGAACACCAGUGGCGAAGGCGACUAUCUGGCUGUACAUUGACGCUGAGGCUCGAAGGCAUGGGGAUCAAACAGGAUUAGAUACCCGGGUAGUC